CAGUCUAUCUUCCAUUCAUAUUUUGUAAGCAUGCUGACCAUUGGAGAUGUCCAAAUUUUUAGUAUUAGUUGAAAUCCGUGAAUGGUUAUGACUUCAAAUGACAGCCCUUGGAGGGGAGGGGGAAGUCUAACCCCAAUGGUUAUCUACUGUAUUAUUUCAAUUCAAAUCCUCUCUGCCCCUAGAUCUCACGCUGCUGCAAUAAGGAUUGUAGGAGAAUUACGUGCCCUGUUCUCUGUACACUUUUUAUCUGGCAGCGCUUGAAAGUCAACCCAAUUUUGUAUAUUGUAGGUUUAUUACCGAUUUCUGUCCAGUAGCUGAAAUGGAGCUUUGGACCCUGUGAGAUUACUGAUAAAUGAUUGAGAAGAAAUGGGCUCUCAACCCAAACAAAACAGAUUUCUUUUCUCGAAACCUUGCCUGAAGACACACUAAUCUCUAGAGAAGAGAAGGCAUUUCGAUUUUGGAUGAACAGCCUUGGAAAUUCAACAUAUAUUGACAAUGUCUUCGAAGAUCUUCGAAAUGGGUGAGUAUCCUCCUGUUUAAAAGAUAGAGCACAACUUCACCCCUA
Camellia sinensis is the source of this 565-nucleotide non-coding RNA. NCBI's taxonomy places the organism in Eukaryota, Viridiplantae, Streptophyta, Magnoliopsida, Ericales, Theaceae. The record is from RefSeq and is a predicted model, not a curated record.